UUUAUGGAGAGUUUGAUCCUGGCUCAGAGUGAACGCUGGCGGCGUGCCUAAUACAUGCAAGUCGAACGAUGAAGCUUCUAGCUUGCUAGAAGUGGAUUAGUGGCGCACGGGUGAGUAAGGUAUAGUUAAUCUGCCCUACACAAGAGGACAACAGUUGGAAACGACUGCUAAUACUCUAUACUCCUGCUUAACACAAGUUGAGUAGGGAAAGUUUUUCGGUGUAGG
This 225-nucleotide ribosomal RNA is filed under the name Campylobacter coli. RNAcentral describes it as "partial 16S ribosomal RNA". It matches the Rfam family "Bacterial small subunit ribosomal RNA", at positions 1 to 224 of the family's 1533-position model. Lineage: Bacteria; Pseudomonadati; Campylobacterota; Epsilonproteobacteria; Campylobacterales; Campylobacteraceae. The record is from RNAcentral.